RNAcentral lists this unclassified non-coding RNA (166 nucleotides) under soil metagenome. Its description in RNAcentral is "partial internal transcribed spacer 1". The record is from RNAcentral.
CGAGAGUGUCACCACUCCCAACCCAUUGUUUACCUACCCGUCCACCGUGCUUCGGCAGGCAGCCCUGUGGGACAGAGCCUCGCCCCCUUCGCGGGGGGUGCCUGCCGCUGGCCAACCAACAAACUCUAGCUGUUUUAGUACCAUCUGAGUCUUCCACAAAUGAACA